GUUUGGACAACUGGUAUCACAGCUUGAUAUGCUUUGCCCCUUUUGAUCCAACGAUCAAGAGUAAAAAAUCAAACAACAGCACAAGUAGAAUAUUCUCUUGCUAAAUGACAAUUUAUAAACUGGUCUCCAUUAUUUAGUGGCAUAAACUACAUAUACUAAAAAAUAUGUAUGUGUAUUUUCAUACAAGCUUUGGAUUAUGACAUGUGGGGUGUCACAACAAAUUAUCCUAACACACCCACUCUUGUUAUUGAUGGUAUAUCUUCUCCCAA
Molecule: long non-coding RNA, 269 nt
Filed under: Elaeis guineensis (African oil palm)
Lineage: Eukaryota; Viridiplantae; Streptophyta; Magnoliopsida; Arecales; Arecaceae
Description: long non-coding RNA (EGUI_LNC002813)
Source: RNAcentral